UUUGCACUAUAUAAUGUAAAAUGAAUAUGAUCAAACGAAUUAGUGAAGUAUUAGUGUAUACUGUUUAGGAUUAUUUACGUUAGUUUAAGUUUAUUUUCUAAUAAUGUCAAGUUUUGAUCUAGCAAUACUGUCUUAUCUAAGUUUUAUAUUUGUCAUCUCUCGUUUAUCAUUAAUUUCCUGUACAAUUAUCUUUGUUUAUGCAUAUUUAAAGUUACGAUAUUUUAAAUUCCGUUGAACUCCUAUAAACGUCGGAGGACAUGUGUAUACGAUUUCUUCUCUGAUUGUAACUCGGUGCUGGUUGUACUUAUCUCUGGUUUGGUGUCAAGCAAACCGUUCACACUCGUACAAUACCCAAUAAAGCAUUGAGAACUCUACCCGCUGCAGUGAAAGCAAUAAAGCGCAUACAUGCACGUGUCUCGGAAGGGGCCAUGGAAGGUCGUGAUGUGUUUCACUUUCAACAGGACAUUGAUUUGGUGGACAACCGGUUUGCUACGCCUGGAACUAUCGGCGCUGACGUGUGGGGGCGACUCAUAGAAGGUGGAGGACCAAACGAACUUUUUGCCCAGCGUACUUUGGGGUGGUGGUUUUGGAUGGGUGGUUUUUGGUUCAGCAGCAGUGACCUUUCCUGCAAAGGAAUCAUUUCUCCAAUUCACCACUUCGCUAGACAGGGAGGACCACUGGUUGGAGGAACUGUUGUCCAACUUUUGGCAAAUGGAGGAAAUCGCAGUGUUUGAUGAUCUGCUAGAGAAUAAAUGUGGGAAGAUCUUCGAGACCACUUAUAGCCGUACCUCAUACGGCCGUUAUAUCGUACACUUACGCUUUCGACGAAAGGCAACGGGAUUAGGUGACUCCUACGCACUGGCAUUUCAUAGGCUAGAGCGGCGCAUGGUUGCGGAUCCAGUCCUUAAGCAAAACUACAUUUCAUUUAUGAGGGAGUAUGCAGCACUCGGACACAUGGAACUAGUACAACCACCUUACGAUCAUACUAAUUGCUAAUACAUUCCUCAUCAUGCGGUCACAUCGUAGUUCCGCGUGGUGUUCAACUGGUAGGUCCAACAAUUCAGAAUUCACUGAGUAGUAUACUUUUACGUUUUCGUCUCUGUCGAAUGGCGAUAACUGCGGACAUAGAGAAGAUAGAGAAGAUGUUCAGGCAAGAGUUAGUUGCAUCUGAACAUCGUGACUAUCAACGAAUAAUAUGGCAAGAGUCUUCUGAAGACGAGAUCCGGGUGUAUCGCCUGAAGACCAUCACAUAUGUCAUGCCAUGCAGUCCUUACAAUGCAGUACGAACCCUACAACAUUCAUUCCCUUUACAAUUAUCAUACAUAUGUGUACGAUUUCUUCUCUGAUUGUAACUCGGUGCUGAUUGUAAUCAUCUUUGGUUUGGUGUCAAGCAAACCGUUCACAACCGUACAAAUCCCAAAAAGCAUUGAGAACUCAAACCGCUGGUAAAUUAAUUAUUUAACAUAUAUAAAAGUGAAAAAUAUAAGUGUAAAAUUCAUUUAGAAUCGAAAAAAUA
Long non-coding RNA from Bactrocera oleae (olive fruit fly), 1516 nucleotides. RefSeq lists it as uncharacterized. The record is from RefSeq and is a predicted model, not a curated record. NCBI's taxonomy places the organism in Eukaryota, Metazoa, Arthropoda, Insecta, Diptera, Tephritidae.